CCUACGGGAGGCAGCAGUGGGGAAUAUUGGGCAAUGGGCGCAAGCCUGACCCAGCAACGCCGCGUGAAGGAAGAAGGCUUUCGGGUUGUAAACUUCUUUUAUCAGGGACGAAGCAAGUGACGGUACCUGAUGAAUAAGCCACGGCUAACUACGUGCCAGCAGCCGCGGUAAUACGUAGGUGGCAAGCGUUAUCCGGAUUUACUGGGUGUAAAGGGUGUGGAGGCGGGAGUGAAAGUCAGAUGUGAAAACGAUGGGCUCAACCCAUAGCCUGCAUUUGAAACUGUACUUCUUGAGUGCUGGAGAGGCAAUCGGAAUUCCGUGUGUAGCGGUGAAAUGCGUAGAUAUCACGCAGAACCCCGAUUGCGAAGGCAGCAUACCGGUGCACAACUGACGCUCAGGCACGAAAGCGUGGGUAUCGAACAGGAUUAGAUACCCGGGUAGUC
This 443-nucleotide ribosomal RNA is filed under the name uncultured bacterium. RNAcentral describes it as "partial 16S ribosomal RNA". It matches the Rfam family "Bacterial small subunit ribosomal RNA", at positions 338 to 795 of the family's 1533-position model. The record is from RNAcentral.